GAUGAAGAACGUGGCGAAAUGCGAUAAGUAAUGUGAAUUGCAGAAUUCAGUGAAUCAUCGAAUCUUUGAACGCACAUUGCGCCCGCCAGCACUCUGGCGGGCAUGCCUGUUCGAGCGUCAUUUCAACCAUCAAGCCCCCAGGGGCUUGUGCUGGGGCCCUGCGGCUGCCCGCAGGCCCUGAAAACCAGUGGCGGGCUCGCUAGUCACACCGAGCGCAGUAGCACAUCUCGCUCAGGGCGUGCGGCGGGCUCCUGCCGUGAAACCCCCCACUGUAACCCCAAAGGUUGACCUCGGAUCAGGUAGGAAUACCCGCUGAACUUAAGCAUAUCAAUAAGCGGAGGA
RNAcentral lists this unclassified non-coding RNA (342 nucleotides) under soil metagenome. RNAcentral's name for it is "partial contains 5.8S ribosomal RNA, internal transcribed spacer 2, and large subunit ribosomal RNA". The stretch from base 1 to 120 matches the Rfam family "5.8S ribosomal RNA", at positions 35 to 154 of the family's 154-position model. The record is from RNAcentral.